Molecule: ribosomal RNA, 467 nt
Filed under: uncultured bacterium
Lineage: Bacteria
Description: partial 16S ribosomal RNA
Rfam family: Bacterial small subunit ribosomal RNA
Source: RNAcentral
GACGAACGCUGGCGGCGUGCUUAACACAUGCAAGUCGAACGAUGACGACCGAGCUUGCUCGGUCUGAUUAGUGGCGAACGGGUGAGUAACACGUGAGCAACCUGCCCUUCACUCUGGGAUAACCCCGGGAAAUCGGGGCUAAUACCGGAUAUGAGCUCCUGUCGCAUGGCGGGUGUUGGAAAGUUUUUCGGUGAAGGAUGGGCUCGCGGCCUAUCAGUUUGUUGGUGAGGUAGUGGCUCACCAAGGCGAUGACGGGUAGCCGGCCUGAGAGGGCGACCGGCCACACUGGGACUGAGACACGGCCCAGACUCCUACGGGAGGCAGCAGUGGGGAAUAUUGCACAAUGGGCGAAAGCCUGAUGCAGCGACGCCGCGUGAGGGAUGACGGCCUUCGGGUUGUAAACCUCUUUCAGCAGGGAAGAAGCGAAAGUGACGGUACCUGCAGAAGAAGCGCCGGCUAACUACGUG